RNAcentral lists this ribosomal RNA (253 nucleotides) under uncultured bacterium. Its description in RNAcentral is "partial 16S ribosomal RNA". It matches the Rfam family "Bacterial small subunit ribosomal RNA", at positions 524 to 776 of the family's 1533-position model. The record is from RNAcentral.
CACGUAGGGCGCAAGCGUUGUCCGGAAUUAUUGGGCGUAAAGAGCUCGUAGGCGGACUGUUGCGUCCGCUGUGAAAACUCGGGGCUUAACCCCGAGCCUGCAGUGGAUACGGGCAGACUAGAGGUAGGUAGGGGAGAAUGGAAUUCCCGGUGUAGCGGUGAAAUGCGCAGAUAUCGGGAGGAACACCGGUGGCGAAGGCGACUUCCUGGCCUGUUCUUGACGCUGAGGCGCGAAAGCUAGGGUAGCAAACGGG